RNAcentral lists this ribosomal RNA (601 nucleotides) under uncultured bacterium. RNAcentral describes it as "bacterial SSU rRNA". It matches the Rfam family "Bacterial small subunit ribosomal RNA", at positions 389 to 1004 of the family's 1533-position model. The record is from RNAcentral.
CAGCAACGCCGCGUGAGGGAAGACGGUUUUCGGAUUGUAAACCUCUGUCUUCGGUGAAGAAAAAAAUGACGGUAGCCGAGGAGGAAGCCACGGCUAACUACGUGCCAGCAGCCGCGGUAAUACGUAGGUGGCGAGCGUUGUCCGGAAUUACUGGGUGUAAAGGGAGCGCAGGCGGGGAAACAAGUCAGCUGUGAAAACUAUGGGCUUAACCCAUAAACUGCAGUUGAAACUGUUUUUCUUGAGUGGAGUAGAGGUAGGCGGAAUUCCGAGUGUAGCGGUGAAAUGCGUAGAUAUUCGGAGGAACACCAGUGGCGAAGGCGGCCUACUGGGCUCUAACUGACGCUGAGGCUCGAAAGUGUGGGGAGCAAACAGGAUUAGAUACCCUGGUAGUCCACACUGUAAACGAUGAUUGCUAGGUGUGGGGGGUCUGACCCCUUCCGUGCCGCAGCUAACGCAAUAAGCAAUCCACCUGGGGAGUACGGCCGCAAGGUUGAAACUCAAAGGAAUUGACGGGGGCCCGCACAAGCAGUGGAUUAUGUGGUUUAAUUCGAAGCAACGCGAAGAACCUUACCAGGUCUUGACAUUUAUGGAACGAGGUAGA